GCCGCUUUGGGCAGUUACCUACGUGUUACUCACCCGUCCGCCACUCGUUGGCGACCAAAAUCAAUCAGGUGCAAGCACCAUCAAUCAAUUGGGCCAACGCGUUCGACUUGCAUGUAUUAGGCACACCGCCGGCGUUCAUCCUGAGCCAUGAUCAAACUCUGA
RNAcentral lists this ribosomal RNA (162 nucleotides) under Limosilactobacillus fermentum. RNAcentral describes it as "Lactobacillus fermentum partial 16S ribosomal RNA". Lineage: Bacteria; Bacillati; Bacillota; Bacilli; Lactobacillales; Lactobacillaceae. The record is from RNAcentral.